Molecule: long non-coding RNA, 750 nt
Filed under: Chinchilla lanigera (long-tailed chinchilla)
Lineage: Eukaryota; Metazoa; Chordata; Mammalia; Rodentia; Chinchillidae
Description: lncRNA (ENSCLAG00000028311.1)
Source: RNAcentral
AAGGAGAGCAUGGGAUCCCUCUGUCCCCUUCAAGAACAAGGACCUCAAUUAUUUGAAAACCUCCCACUAAGCCUCAACUCAGUUUCUACCACCUUCCAAUAGUGCCAAACUGGGGAAUGAGCCACACACCUCUAGAGCACACUUAGAUAAACCAUAUCUGCUUCCAAAAUAUUAUUUCUUUAUUAUAAAUUGAAAAAAAAAUUUAUCUCACCUCUCUCAUCACAGCUGUUCUUCUUAUGGUACAAACUGCAAAACACUCUGUAAUAACUCCCCAGAAGAGGUCUCACUGGUGGCACAAGCCCAGAUGCCUCCUGCGAGGAUGGUGAGAAAUAGUUCUCAGCCCUAGACUCAGCCAUUCCAGAAGCACACAAAAGAAGGCGGGGAUGAUUCGGAGGACUGACAUAGGAGGUAAUGCAGCUCAGUUGCUGCUUUGUAAGGAGGAGUUCGCUAUUAUGUUAGCAGGAACUGAGUACUCACACCACAGGAUUCCUCUAACCACUCUACUGCUGCUCUUCACAGUGGACCUUCGGGUUGCUGGGUCAGGACUGCUUGACUUUGGCAAAGAUCCUCUUAGAAUCAACUACAGCUAUAGAACCAUGCCAAACAUCCCCACUCCUCCUCAUUCCAAGUGCAUACUUCCUGCUGCCAGUAAAACUACAUGGAUGGUGAAAGAAUGAGCCGAGAUCCAUAGAAGCAACAUACAUGCCAGGCAGGUGAGAAUUUAUUGGAGUGUAAUGUGGAAAUUUCACU